UCUUUUGAACUUAUAAAAGAUGGUACCUGCCCAGUGAAUUAGUUUCAACGGCCGCAGUAUUUUGACUGUGCAAAGGUAGCAUAAUAAUUUGUCUUAUAAUUGAAGACUGGAAUGAAUGGUUUUAUGAAAAUAAAGCUGUCUCUUUUACACAAAAAUAAAUUAUUUUAAAAGUUAAAAAACUUUUAUUUAAAAGAGGGACGAGAAGACCCUAUUAAGCUUUAGUAGAUUGCUGUUAUUGUUAUCUUUUAUUUAAUAAAUUAAACAUAAUAACAACUACUUUGAUUGGGGUGAUCAAGGAAUAAAAAACCUUCCUUUAUUUAUAAUCAGGAUGCUGUAUUGACCCAAUAUUUUUGUUUGUUAAACUAAGUUACUAUAGGGAUAACAGCGUAAUUUCUUUUAAAAGUUCUUAUUAAAAAAGAAGUUUGCGACCUCGAUGUUGGAUUAAGAAAACUUUUAGGUGCAGGAGCUUAAAAUGUAAGUCUGUUCGACUUUUAAUUU
Molecule: ribosomal RNA, 498 nt
Filed under: Phoroniformea sp. larval OTU P2
Lineage: Eukaryota; Metazoa; Phoronida
Description: partial 16S ribosomal RNA
Rfam family: Bacterial large subunit ribosomal RNA
Source: RNAcentral